This 254-nucleotide ribosomal RNA is filed under the name uncultured bacterium. RNAcentral describes it as "partial 16S ribosomal RNA". It matches the Rfam family "Bacterial small subunit ribosomal RNA", at positions 524 to 776 of the family's 1533-position model. The record is from RNAcentral.
CACGUAGGGUGCGAGCGUUGUCCGGAAUUAUUGGGCGUAAAGAGCUCGUAGGCGGUGUGUCGCGUCGGCCGUGAAAACCUGCAGCUUAACUGUGGGCUUGCGGUCGAUACGGGCAUCACUGGAGUUCGGCAGGGGAGACUGGAAUUCCUGGUGUAGCGGUGAAAUGCGCAGAUAUCAGGAGGAACACCGGUGGCGAAGGCGGCAUCCUGGACCAACACUGACGCUGAGGAGCGAAAGCCAGGGGAGCAAACGGG